Molecule: ribosomal RNA, 407 nt
Filed under: uncultured bacterium
Lineage: Bacteria
Description: partial 16S ribosomal RNA
Rfam family: Bacterial small subunit ribosomal RNA
Source: RNAcentral
AUUGAAAGCUGGCGGCAGGCCUAACACAUGCAAGUCGAGAGGAGCGGCGGACGGGUGAGUAAUGCCUAGGAAUCUGCCUGGUAGUGGGGGAUAACGUCCGGAAACGGGCGCUAAUACCGCAUACUAUCAGAUGAGCCUAGGUCGGAGUAGCUAGGUGGUGGGGGAAAGGCCUACCAAGGCGACGAUCCGUAACUGGUCGGAGAGGAUGAUCAGUCACGCUGUAACUGAGACACGGUCCACACUCCUACGGGAGGCAGCAGUGGUGAAUAUUGGACAGUGGUCGAAAGCCUGAUCCAUCCAGGCCGCGUGUGUGAAGAAGGUAUUCUGAUUGUAAAGCACUUUAAGUUGGGAGGCGUUACCAACAGAAUAAGCACCGGCUAACUUCGGGCCAGCAGCCGCGGUAAUAC